RNAcentral lists this ribosomal RNA (470 nucleotides) under uncultured bacterium. RNAcentral's name for it is "bacterial SSU rRNA". It matches the Rfam family "Bacterial small subunit ribosomal RNA", at positions 8 to 526 of the family's 1533-position model. The record is from RNAcentral.
AGGGUUUGAUCAUGGCUCAGAACGAACGCUGGCGGCAGGCCUAACACAUGCAAGUCGAGCGCGCCUUCGGGCGAGCGGCGGACGGGUUAGUAACGCGUGGGAACGUGCCCAGAUCUACGGAAUAGCCACUGGAAACGGUGAGUAAUACCGUAUACGCCCUUAGGGGGAAAGAUUUAUCGGAUUUGGAUCGGCCCGCGUUAGAUUAGGUAGUUGGUGGGGUAACGGCCUACCAAGCCUACGAUCUAUAGCUGGUUUUAGAGGAUGAUCAGCAACACUGGGACUGAGACACGGCCCAGACUCCUACGGGAGGCAGCAGUGGGGAAUCUUGGACAAUGGGGGGAACCCUGAUCCAGCCAUGCCGCGUGAGUGAAGAAGGCCCUAGGGUCGUAAAACUCUUUCGCCUGUGAUGAUAAUGACAGUAGCAGGUAAAGAAACCCCGGCUAACUCCGUGCCAGCCGCCGCGGUAAUAC